RNAcentral lists this ribosomal RNA (449 nucleotides) under uncultured bacterium. Its description in RNAcentral is "partial 16S ribosomal RNA". It matches the Rfam family "Bacterial small subunit ribosomal RNA", at positions 29 to 523 of the family's 1533-position model. The record is from RNAcentral.
AACGAACGCUGGCGGCAUGCCUAACACAUGCAAGUCGAACGAGAUCUUCGGGUCUAGUGGCGCACGGGUGCGUAACGCGUGGGAAUCUGCCCUUUGGUUCGGAACAACAGUUGGAAACGACUGCUAAUACCGGAUGAUGACGAAAGUCCAAAGAUUUAUCGCCAGAGGAUGAGCCCGCGUAGGAUUAGCUAGUUGGUGUGGUAAAGGCGCACCAAGGCGACGAUCCUUAGCUGGUCUGAGAGGAUGAUCAGCCACCCUGGGACUGAGACACGGCCCAGACUCCUACGGGAGGCAGCAGUGGGGAAUAUUGGACAAUGGGCGAAAGCCUGAUCCAGCAAUGCCGCGUGAGUGAUGAAGGCCUUAGGGUUGUAAAGCUCUUUUACCCGGGAUGAUAAUGACAGUACCGGGAGAAUAAGCUCCGGCUAACUCCGUGCCAGCAGCCGCGGUAA